Molecule: long non-coding RNA, 222 nt
Filed under: Columba livia (rock pigeon)
Lineage: Eukaryota; Metazoa; Chordata; Aves; Columbiformes; Columbidae
Description: partial uncharacterized LOC102094279
Source: RNAcentral
GCCCCACCAGCCACCCCAUGGACAGCCUGCGCCUGGCGGAGCAGAGCCCGGAGUCCCACGUCCUGCAGCGCAGGGACACAGGGGACACCGUCACGAGGGACACGAGGGACACGAGGGACACAUGGGGCAGUGUCCCCCCCACAGCCCCCCACACCCUGGGGUGCCCCGAGGCCGAGUGUUUCCGGCUGAGCUGCCCCAUGGGGGGGCUGGACAAGCAGCAGC